Pantherophis guttatus is the source of this 874-nucleotide long non-coding RNA. RefSeq lists it as uncharacterized. Lineage: Eukaryota; Metazoa; Chordata; Lepidosauria; Squamata; Colubridae. The record is from RefSeq and is a predicted model, not a curated record.
GAAUAGAAUAGAAUAGAAUUAUUUAUUGACCAAGUGUGAUUGGACACACAAGGAAUUUGUCUUUGGUGCAUAUGCUCUCAGUGUACAUAAAAAGAAAAGAUACAUUCCUCAAGAAUCAUAAGGUACAACACUUAAUGAUAGUCUUAGGGAACAAAUAAGCAAUCAAAUCAUAUUAGGAAACAGUGAAUAUAAAUUGUAAGGAUACCAGCAACAAGGUUACAGUCAUACAGUCAUUAAGUGGAAGGAGGUGGGUGAUGGGAACGAUGAGAAGAUUAAUAGUAAUGCAGACUUAGUGAAUAGUUUGACAGUGUUGAGCGAAUUAUUUUUUUAGCAAAUUGAUGGCGUUUGGGAAAAAAACUGUUCUUGUACCUAAUUGUCUUGGUGUGCAAUGCUCUAUAGUGUUGUUUUGAGGGUAGGAGUUGAAACAAUUUAUAUCCAGGAUGCAAGGGGUCUGUAAAUAUUUUCACUUAAUUUCAUUUAAUGUAACUCUUGUCCUGCAGCGAAUUGGCCGUGGCAAGCUGUCAUAGACCCAUGGGGAUGAUGGAAACAACCAAAAGAUUAACGUAUGAACAGUCAACUUAGCUGGGUAGCGUAGAACACUUUAGCUUAACCUGCCCCCAUAAAGAUAUGUGGAGUUCAACUCCCGACACAAAGGAUCCUAGAUUGGGAGAAUCUUUGGAAUAUAUCAUGGAAACCAAGACUAGCGGCUGCACAGGAGAAAAGUGCAAUAGUUUCUUUCUAUGAGGAACAGACAGAGACCAACGCUGGUGUAUUCAUAUGGAACUUAAGCAGUUAUUUCGAAUAUUUGAGACAUAGUCUUCUUCUACACUCUUUUCCACCUUUUGCAAAUUUGGACCUUUAUAUUCAUUUUUAA